This 253-nucleotide ribosomal RNA is filed under the name uncultured bacterium. RNAcentral's name for it is "partial 16S ribosomal RNA". It matches the Rfam family "Bacterial small subunit ribosomal RNA", at positions 524 to 776 of the family's 1533-position model. The record is from RNAcentral.
UACGUAGGGACCGAGCGUUGUCCGGAAUCAUUGGGCGUAAAGAGCGCGUAGGCGGCUUAUCAAGUCGGGGGUGAAAGCCCGUGGCUCAACCACGGAAUGGCCUUCGAUACUGGUAGGCUUGAGACCGGAAGAGGACAGCGGAACUGCGAGUGUAGAGGUGAAAUUCGUAGAUAUUCGCAAGAACACCAGUGGCGAAGGCGGCUGUCUGGUCCGGUUCUGACGCUGAGGCGCGAAAGCGUGGGGAGCAAACAGG